RNAcentral lists this ribosomal RNA (106 nucleotides) under uncultured bacterium. RNAcentral describes it as "partial 16S ribosomal RNA". It matches the Rfam family "Bacterial small subunit ribosomal RNA", at positions 1367 to 1482 of the family's 1533-position model. The record is from RNAcentral.
UGUGUUCCUGAGCCUUGUACACACCGCCCGUCAAGCCACGAAAGGGAGGAGCGCCCGAAGUCGUUUCACCAAGUAAACGCCGAAGGCGAAACUCCUGAUUGGGACU